Molecule: ribosomal RNA, 207 nt
Filed under: uncultured bacterium
Lineage: Bacteria
Description: partial 16S ribosomal RNA
Rfam family: Bacterial small subunit ribosomal RNA
Source: RNAcentral
CGCGUAGGCGGAUAGUUUAGUCAGAGGUGAAAGCCCAGGGCUCAACCUUGGAAUUGCCUUUGAUACUGGCUAUCUUGAGUUCGGGAGAGGUGAGUGGAACUCCGAGUGUAGAGGUGAAAUUCGUAGAUAUUCGGAAGAACACCAGUGGCGAAGGCGACUCACUGGCCCGAUACUGACGCUGAGGCGCGAAAGCGUGGGGAGCAAACA